RNAcentral lists this ribosomal RNA (441 nucleotides) under uncultured Glomus. RNAcentral describes it as "SSU rRNA". It matches the Rfam family "Eukaryotic small subunit ribosomal RNA", at positions 569 to 1018 of the family's 1831-position model. Lineage: Eukaryota; Fungi; Glomeromycota; Glomeromycetes; Glomerales; Glomeraceae. The record is from RNAcentral.
AGCAGCCGCGGUAAUUCCAGCUCCAAUAGCGUAUAUUAAAGUUGUUGCAGUUAAAAAGCUCGUAGUUGAAUUUCGGGACCAAUUUGUUGGUCGUGCCUCGGUACGUACUGGUAUUAUUGGUUUCUCCCUUCUGAAGAACCUCGAUGCCAUUAAUUUGGUGUCGUGGGGAAUCAGGACUGUUACUUUGAAAAAUUAGAGUGUUUAAAGCAAGCAUACGCUUGAAUACAUUAGCAUGGAAUAAUGAAAUAGGACGUUUGAUUCUAUUUUGUUGGUUUCUAGGAUCGACGUAAUGAUUAAUAGGGAUAGUUGGGGGCAUUAGUAUUCAAUUGUCAGAGGUGAAAUUCUUGGAUUUAUUGAAGACUAACUACUGCGAAAGCAUUUGCCAAGGAUGUUUCAUUAAUCAAGAACGAAAGUUAGGGAUCGAAGACGAUCAGAUACCGU